Molecule: long non-coding RNA, 2157 nt
Filed under: Oncorhynchus kisutch (coho salmon)
Lineage: Eukaryota; Metazoa; Chordata; Actinopteri; Salmoniformes; Salmonidae
Description: lncRNA (ENSOKIG00005015033.1)
Source: RNAcentral
CCGCCCAAACAGGGAUCGGUAGCGGCUAGUAGACCGGCGCCGAGCGCCGCCCAAACAGGGAUCGGUAGCGGCUAGUAGACCGGCGACGCCGAGCGCCGCCCAAACAGGGAUCGGUAGCGGCUAGUAGACCGGCGACGCCGAGCGCCGCCCAAACAGGGAUCGGUAGCGGCUAGUAGACCGGCGACGCCGAGCACCGCCCAAACAGGGAUCGGUAGCGGCUAGUAGACCGGCGCCGAGCACCGCCCAAACAGGGAUCGGUAGCGGCUAGUAGACCGGCGCCGAGCACCGCCCAAACAGGGAUCGGUAGCGGCUAGUAGACCGGCGACGCCGAGCGCCGCCCAAACAGGGAUCGGUAGCGGCUAGUAGACCGGCGAUGCCGAGCGCCGAGCGCCGCCCGAACAGGGAUCGGUAGCGGCUAGUAGACCGGCGACGCCGAGCGCCGCCCGGACAGGGAGAGGAGUUACCUUCGGUAGAAGUCGUGACACUACGGCUGUAUAUAAUUCACUAUACUACGACUGUAUAUAAUUCACUAUACUAUGACUGUAUAAUUCACUAUACUAUGACUGUAUAUAAUUCACUAUACGAUGGCUGUAUAUAAUUCACUAUACUACGGCUGUAUAUAAUUCACUAUACGAUGGCUGUAUAUAAUUCACUAUACUACGGCUGUAUAUAAUUCACUAUACUACGACUGUAUAUAAUUCACUAUACGAUGGCUGUAUAUAAUUCACUAUACUACGACUGUAUAUAAUUCACUAUACGAUGGCUGUAUAUAAUUCACUACACUACGGCUGUAUAUAAUUCACUAUACGAUGGCUGUAUAUAAUUCACUACACUACGGCUGUAUAUAAUUCACUAUACGAUGGCUGUAUAUAAUUCACUAUACGAAGGCUGUAUAUAAUUCACUAUACUACGACUGUAUAUAAUUCACUAUACUACGGCUGUAUAUAAUUCACUACACUACAGCUGUAUAUAAUUCACUAUACGAUGGCUGUAUAUAAUUCACUACACUACGGCUGUAUAUAAUUCACUAUACGAUGGCUGUAUAUAAUUCACUACACUACGGCUGUAUAUAAUUCACUACACUACGGCUGUAUAUAAUUCACUAUACGAUGGCUGUAUAUAAUUCACUAUACUACGACUGUAUAUAAUUCACUACACUACGGCUGUAUAUAAUUCACUACACUACGGCUGUAUAUAAUUCACUAUACUAUGGCUGUAUAUAAUUCACUACACUACAGCUGUAUAUAAUUCACUAUACGAUGGCUGUAUAUAAUUCACUAUACUACGGCUGUAUAUAAUUCACUACACUACGACUGUAUAUAAUUCACUACACUACGGCUGUAUAUAAUUCACUACACUACGGCUGUAUAUAAUUCACUAUACUACGACUGUAUAUAAUUCACUAUACUACGACUGUAUAUAAUUCACUAUACUACGACUGUAUAUAAUUCACUACACUACGGCUGUAUAUAAUUCACUAUACGACGGCUGUAUAUAAUUCACUAUACGAUGGCUGUAUAUAAUUCACUAUACGAUGGCUGUAUAUAAUUCACUAUACUACGACUGUAUAUAAUUCACUACACUACGGCUGUAUAUAAUUCACUACGACUAUAUAAUUCACUACACUACGGCUGUAUAUAAUUCACUAUACUACGACUGUAUAUAAUUCACUACACUACGGCUGUAUAUAAUUCACUAUACUACGACUGUAUAUAAUUCACUAUACGAUGGCUGUAUAUAAUUCACUAUACGAUGGCUGUAUAUAAUUCACUACACUACGGCUGUAUAUAAUUCACUACACUACGGCUGUAUAUAAUUCACUAUACUACGACUGUAUAUAAUUCACUAUACUACGACUGUAUAUAAUUCACUAUACUACGACUGUAUAUAAUUCACUACACUACGGCUGUAUAUAAUUCACUAUACUACGGCUGUAUAUAAUUCACUAUACUAUGACUGUAUAUAAUUCACUACACUACGGCUGUAUAUAAUUCACUAUACUACGGCUGUAUAUAAUUCACUAUACUAUGACUGUAUAUAAUUCACUAUACUACGACUGUAUAUAAUUCACUACACUACGGCUGUAUAUAAUUCACUAUACUACGGCUGUAUAUAAUUCACUAUACUAUGACUGUAUAUAAUUCACUACACUAUGGC